GCAUAUCAAUAAGCGGAGGAAAAGAAACUAACAAGGAUUCCCCUAGUAACGGCGAGUGAAGAGGGAAAAGCCCAAAUUUGUAAUCUGGCUCUUUCUACAAGGGUCCGAGUUGUAAUUUUGAGAACUGUUAUCUGUGCUGGGCCAUCUAUAAGUCUGCUGAAAGGCAGCAUCAUUGAGGGUGAGAAUCCCGUUCAUGAGAUGUGCAUUUUACCAGUGCUCUAUGAUGCAGUUUCUAAGAGUCGAGUUGUUUGGGAAUGCAGCUCAAAGUGGGUGGUAAAUUCCAUCUAAGGCUAAAUAUAGGUGAGAGACCGAUAGCAUACAAGUACCGUGAGGGAAAGAUGAAAAGAACUUUGGAAAGAGAGUUAACAGUACGUGAAAUUGCUGAAAGGGAAACGCUUGAAGUUAGCCUUGUUAUUGUCAGUUCAGCUCUUUUAGGGUGUAUUCUGACUAUUAACAGACCAACAUCAAUCUUUUGAGUGCAGGAUAAGGGUUUUGGGAAUGUUGCAGUUUUUUAACUGUGUUAUAGACCAUUACUUUGAUACUGUGCUUGGGAUUGAGAGAUUUGCGGUGAGCCAUUUUUUGGUGGAGUUUCCUCUGGAAGUUCUUCUUGCCAAUGAUGUUGGUGUAAUAGCUUCAAACGACCCGUCUUGAAACACGGACC
This 661-nucleotide ribosomal RNA is filed under the name Uredo longan. RNAcentral describes it as "partial large subunit ribosomal RNA". It matches the Rfam family "Eukaryotic large subunit ribosomal RNA", at positions 38 to 667 of the family's 3401-position model. Lineage: Eukaryota; Fungi; Basidiomycota; Pucciniomycetes; Pucciniales. The record is from RNAcentral.